GAAUGUUGUUAUUUUCUCACCCUAAACGUGCCUGAUCUCAUCUAAUCUCAGAACCAGGCAGGGUCGGGCCUGGUUAGUACUUGGAUGGGAGACCUCCUGGGACUACCCGGUGCUGUAUGCU
Otolemur garnettii (small-eared galago) is the source of this 121-nucleotide ribosomal RNA. NCBI's taxonomy places the organism in Eukaryota, Metazoa, Chordata, Mammalia, Primates, Galagidae. The record is from Ensembl.